This 406-nucleotide ribosomal RNA is filed under the name uncultured bacterium. RNAcentral's name for it is "partial 16S ribosomal RNA". It matches the Rfam family "Bacterial small subunit ribosomal RNA", at positions 29 to 526 of the family's 1533-position model. The record is from RNAcentral.
AUUGAACGCUGGCGGCAGGCCUAACACAUGCAAGUCGAACGAGUGGCGGACGGGUGAGUAAUGUCUGGGAAACUGCCUGAUGGAGGGGGAUAACUACUGGAAACGGUAGCUAAUACCGCAUACCAUCGGAGGUGCCCAGCGGGGAUUAGCUUGUUGGUGGGGUAACGGCGCCCCAAGGCGACGAUCACUAGCUGGUCUGAGAGGAUGCCCAGCCAGACUGGAACUGAGACACGGGCCAGACUCCUACGGGAGGCAGCAGUGGGGAAUAUGGCACAAUGGGCGCAAGGCGGAUGCAGCCAUGCCGCGUGGAUGAAGAAGGCCUUCGGGUUGUAAAGUACUUUAAGCGGGGAGGCGUUACCCGCAGAAGAAGCACCGGCUAACUCCGUGCCAGCAGCCGCGGUAAUAC